CAUAUACACAAAUAUGAUCCAUAUGUGUCUUACUGCUUUUUCUAAAACAUGUAUUUCUUUUUUGUUUUCUCAUUUUUUCAAUGAGAAGAAUAUAUUAGAAUAUAUAAAAGAGUGAUGGAUAGAGAACACAGAAACUGAAAGUAUGAGCAGUCAUGACUCAAACACGGAAGAGCAGGGAGAGAGUGAGAGACUUGCCAUCUGGAUGUCUCCUGAUCUCGGCCUCAGGCUAGAUCGUCGAUGUUAAGGGCUGCCCUGCUGUCAUCUAAAUGCUGUAUAGUAAGCUUUUUUUUCUUUAUGUAAUGUUAUAUAACAGAUUCCUCCGCAUUUUUUGGAACCAUCUGUUUUAAUCUAUUCACACGUUUUGGGGUGAAUUUCCUUCUCUUAAAGGAAGCUCUGUCGCACCAAAUCAUGCUUUCAAUAAGUUGGAUUUGUUUUGAUGGAGUGUAAAUACAUACACCUUUAUCCAGGCCACAAUUAUGAUGGGCGACUAUUCAUUUUCAUUCAUCCUUUUGAUGCCACUGCAUCCUUACAUUGUGCCUCUUAUUCGGAGUUGCUACCCUCUAUCUCUGUUUUCCCCUCAAAACAGUUUCUUAUGCAUGAACGUAUGAAACAAACACAACUGAACUAACAUUAGAUCACACCGACCACAUGCGAUGAAGGAACCCAGAUGAACAAAAGCUAUCCGUUUACACAAUUUGCCUGUUUCCUAGCUGGCCUGCAUCCUUUAACGCAUGGUGACAGGUCUUGACUGAAGGUCGCUCAUUAUACUGCACUAUAAAAUAAUACAAAUCAAUGUUAGUGAUGCCUAAAUUCCCACCUGGAAGGGAUACUGUGCAAUGCUGCAGCGGUCUGCACACACUCACUAUCACGGAGCAAUUUGUUUAAAAAUAAAGAAUGUCUGUUUUUAUUAAGAAACAUUGCCGAUGCAUUCUACUGAAUUGAGUAAAUAAGAACAGCCUUAUUAUGAGAGUGUUGGCAGAGAUUCAUAUCUUUGAAUUCAGCGAGAUGUAAAAGUGGUGCUCUUGGCUGCGAGCGAAAGAGGAGCCGGUAAGCUCGCUGUAGAGCGAUAUAUUGUGUGACGGCAACAACAUCACUGACAGAAGGGACAUGCGUCUCUGGAGUCCAUAAUCAUAUUUCACCGUGAAAUGUGGCGAUCCUGAUACGAUGUAAGUCUGUUUUUCGCUCUUUGGCAGAACGGGGGCACCAUUGUUUUUCAGGCUGUCACAGUGCUGCAGACGCUGAAAGCUGCCCUCUAAAAACUAUUGGAAGACCCCCAAUGCAUUUAAUGGGUUCGCCUAAUGCGGUGCAGUUAUGUAAGCAAUUUGUUUAACAGAAAUGAUAAUGUUUGGAUGACAAUGAAACUGGCACAUAGCCGAGCACCUUAUUAAUCAGAUCAAUAUGGCACAUUGUGUUGUACAACAUUUAAACCGGACUGCGUGUUCCGCUCUCAGGAGGAUGAAUGUUUUUUAAGAGAGGCUCUGGAAUUUCUUAGAUUAGGUUACUGCUCAACGUCCCAGCUGCCUUAUAGACUAAAAAGAGUAACUCCUCUGACACGGUGCAUAAGAUGACCAGGGCUAUGAAUGUGUCAACUCUGCUUCGUAUGGUUUUCAUAUGUGUGUCCAUACAUGAUACACACUGAUCUGAAUGAAAACCGACGCCCCUACAAACACCCCUCUAUGCAGACUUUCUUAUGUCAAUCAGAGCUGCCCUGUGGCCAGAACCACUGUCAGCUCUGAGAUGCCUUCCAUGAAAUAUUCACCAUUCCACGAGUCAUGUUCAGACUGCAGGCAGAGCUGUGCUUGACUGUCCUGUUCCCAGAUCAGACCUGGCUAAGAUGAGUCGCUGUUCUCUUUGAUGCUCUGCUGGGUCUACUGACUAGAAUGUGUCUCUCCAAAUGCUAAGCUGCCUCCACGUUACUACCUCUGUUCUUUCUUUCUUACUUCAACAUUUUUACGUUCCUUCCUUCUUGCAUUAGAUACCGGAUAGAUUAAGACGCAGUUUAACAGCAUUAAGCACCUUUUAUGACCUCAACAGUGAGGUAGCUUUAAUAUCUUGUUCAUGUAAAACUCAUCUUGUUGCUAUGAACAUUUUCUGAAAGGGCGCCUGAGGAGCAGUCGAUGAUUAGUGGUCUACAAUAUGUGAGAGGCGUGAUGUUGGUUUAGGGUCUUGGCUAAGAGACCAUAAAUUACCAGAAACAAAGAAUAUCAUCUCCCCCAGCAGCGGUGAUUAAUCUUACUUUGGGCUUCUAACUGUGGAGCGGGGGAGCAGCAUGUUGCGAAGUCGGGCAACAUUUUCCUGACCAUUUAUCCAUUAUAGAUCCCUGAAGCACAUCCGCGGACACCUCAAUUGCAGCCUUUUUUUGGGACGCUAUUACAUCCAGUACCAAAUGACAUUUCAGCAGCAUUACCCAGCAACAUUCACAGUGCAAACAAUGUAGACAAACUUUAGCUGUUUUUGACUGACAAAAGAUAGAUUUUUCCCCCUUUAGCAGUGGACCCGAUGUGUCACAGAUUCUUAUAAGUCCUUAAUACUUAGUGCACACCCUUGAGGCUCACACUACUGUUACGGUUUAAAGACAUUUUCUCCACCUGCAGAGGAUUCAAAGUGCACUCGCUUUGUACAGCUGCAUAAUUGGGCUUUACACAUCUGAUAUUUUACCUAUGAUGUCAAAACUAUGUCCUACUUUCUCAGACAAAGGACUAAAUCAUGAGCGAAGGUCUAAACCAGAAGCCAACUGUCAAAAAGGCCAGCUUUGAUUUUGUUGAGCCUCAGGCCAGUGUGGUCUGUGUGCACUUAAAUUUGGCAUCCAUCUUAAGUUUGUUUUCCUCUUAAAACAAAGUAAGAGGUAAUUAUUCGGCUGCCUGGAGGCACUGGAGGC
Long non-coding RNA from Gasterosteus aculeatus aculeatus (three-spined stickleback), 2878 nucleotides. NCBI's taxonomy places the organism in Eukaryota, Metazoa, Chordata, Actinopteri, Perciformes, Gasterosteidae. The record is from Ensembl.